RNAcentral lists this ribosomal RNA (51 nucleotides) under uncultured bacterium. RNAcentral describes it as "partial 16S ribosomal RNA". The record is from RNAcentral.
CCGAGCGUUAUCCCUAUUUAUUGGGUUUAAAGGGAGCGUACAUGGAUGUUU